UGGAAAGGACCUACUGAAAAAAAAAAUAUCU
This 31-nucleotide non-coding RNA is filed under the name Rattus norvegicus (Norway rat). The record is from RNAcentral. Lineage: Eukaryota; Metazoa; Chordata; Mammalia; Rodentia; Muridae.